This 1390-nucleotide ribosomal RNA is filed under the name Bacteroides sp. Human4. RNAcentral's name for it is "bacterial SSU rRNA". It matches the Rfam family "Bacterial small subunit ribosomal RNA". The record is from RNAcentral. Lineage: Bacteria; Pseudomonadati; Bacteroidota; Bacteroidia; Bacteroidales; Bacteroidaceae.
GUUUGAUCCUGGCUCAGGAUGAACGCUAGCUACAGGCUUAACACAUGCAAGUCGAGGGGCAGCAUGGUCUUAGCUUGCUAAGGCCGAUGGCGACCGGCGCACGGGUGAGUAACACGUAUCCAACCUGCCGUCUACUCUUGGACAGCCUUCUGAAAGGAAGAUUAAUACAAGAUGGCAUCAUGAGUCCGCAUGUUCACAUGAUUAAAGGUAUUCCGGUAGACGAUGGGGAUGCGUUCCAUUAGAUAGUAGGCGGGGUAACGGCCCACCUAGUCUUCGAUGGAUAGGGGUUCUGAGAGGAAGGUCCCCCACAUUGGAACUGAGACACGGUCCAAACUCCUACGGGAGGCAGCAGUGAGGAAUAUUGGUCAAUGGGCGAGAGCCUGAACCAGCCAAGUAGCGUGAAGGAUGACUGCCCUAUGGGUUGUAAACUUCUUUUAUAAAGGAAUAAAGUCGGGUAUGGAUACCCGUUUGCAUGUACUUUAUGAAUAAGGAUCGGCUAACUCCGUGCCAGCAGCCGCGGUAAUACGGAGGAUCCGAGCGUUAUCCGGAUUUAUUGGGUUUAAAGGGAGCGUAGAUGGAUGUUUAAGUCAGUUGUGAAAGUUUGCGGCUCAACCGUAAAAUUGCAGUUGAUACUGGAUAUCUUGAGUGCAGUUGAGGCAGGCGGAAUUCGUGGUGUAGCGGUGAAAUGCUUAGAUAUCACGAAGAACUCCGAUUGUGAAGCAACCUGCUAAGCUGCAACUGACAUUGAGGCUCGAAAGUGUGGGUAUCAAACAGGAUUAGAUACCCUGGUAGUCCACACGGUAAACGAUGAAUACUCGCUGUNUGCGAUAUACUGCAAGCGGCCAAGCGAAAGCGUUAAGUAUUCCACCUGGGGAGUACGCCGGCAACGGUGAAACUCAAAGGAAUUGACGGGGGCCCGCACAAGCGGAGGAACAUGUGGUUUAAUUCGAUGAUACGCGAGGAACCUUACCCGGGCUUAAAUUGCAGAUGAAUUACGGUGAAAGCCGUAAGCCGCAAGGCAUCUGUGAAGGUGCUGCAUGGUUGUCGUCAGCUCGUGCCGUGAGGUGUCGGCUUAAGUGCCAUAACGAGCGCAACCCUUGUUGUCAGUUACUAACAGGUUCCGCUGAGGACUCUGACAAGACUGCCAUCGUAAGAUGUGAGGAAGGUGGGGAUGACGUCAAAUCAGCACGGCCCUUACGUCCGGGGCUACACACGUGUUACAAUGGGGGGUACAGAGGGCCGCUACCACGCGAGUGGAUGCCAAUCCCCAAAACCUCUCUCAGUUCGGACUGGAGUCUGCAACCCGACUCCACGAAGCUGGAUUCGCUAGUAAUCGCGCAUCAGCCACGACGCGGUGAAUACGUUCCCGGGCCUUGUACACACCGCCCGU